This 1117-nucleotide long non-coding RNA is filed under the name Capra hircus (goat). RNAcentral describes it as "lncRNA (ENSCHIG00010027833.1)". The record is from RNAcentral. Lineage: Eukaryota; Metazoa; Chordata; Mammalia; Artiodactyla; Bovidae.
UUUAGUCAAAACCAAUUCUUCUCUUUUUAAUUGACUAUAACUUCUCCCAACUGUCAUCCUGCCUUAGUUAAUCCUACUUGCAAAGGUUAAAUCUUGUAGGUGUGAAGUUUUGCAGACACAAACCUAUUUCUUGAUUGGAAAGCAUAAAAUAUAUGGGGAAAGGAGAUAAUCAGUAAAGGGAAUGAGAAUGUAUAUGAAUAUUGAAUAUCUGAUGUUUUAUUAAGAAUUUUAAAGAAAAGUGAUGUUCUUGGUUGUCAGCUGAUCCCAUCUGAUCAUCAGAGAUAAAGAUACCUGUCUGCUGGGCUAGGCACCUUGGUUUUGUUGCUGCCCUCAACAAUAAGGAAAAUGGUUUCUAACACAUGAUUUGUGGAACCAGAGCCAACAGCUUUAAAUAAACAAAUGAACAAGGCAAAAAAACUAAUUUAUCUGAAAGUCAAUAAAUCUCCUGGUCCCCUGGCCUCACCCAGCUGCUGCUCCAGGUACCUCACCUAGAUUCCCAGAUCAACCUUUGACUUGAAUUUUCCUCCCAGAUUCUUUGAUGUUUUAGAUUUUAAUCUCAGCUCUGCUUUUCCCAGGUUAGGACACAUUUAGCAAUAAGCCCACCGAGUGAUCUAAACUAGUGUGUGCUGCUGGGGGAAGCAUGGUUAAAUACUGUCAAGGAAAGAUGGCAGCAGGAAAGGAGUGAAGAUAAUGUCAUUGUGAAACAUUGGCACUUGAUAUUUAAUGUAUCUACUACAGGAAAUGCAGAGAAACACAUUAUAGCAAAGCCCCGGAGUAUUUGUUUUGAGAGAAAAGUUACUUUGGGCUCUCAUUUUAAAAAGAGUAGAGCUAGCAUGACUCCCUACUCCUUAGGUGUGGACUAAUCGCAUAGCGAUUUUCUUCCAGAGCAUAGUUUGAAAAGGAGAGGGGAAUAACUUCACGACGGAGAUGAGGAACCAGUCAGCACUGCCCCAGAUGGUGGCCAAGGUCAGUUCCAGCGGUGACCAGGCACUUACAUGGCCUGGACCCUUGGCAUGAUGUUUUGAGAAUGGCGCUUGACCUCCGACCUUCCUCCCCAAGUUCUGUAACUCCAGUCUAAUCGUGAGGAAAAUAGACAAAUGCUAACUGAGAAGCAUUC